CAAUGUUGAAGAAGCUGACGGUCUCUAUCCUCUAGUGGGCAAGGAAAAAGGAAAGCUUUGGUCAUUACUGAAGGGACUCUUCCUUGAGCUCUCUUGAUCAAUAAGGAGUUCUUCCAAUGGAGAUUUCUUCCAUAGGAGGGUUAUCUGAACUGGGUAUGGAGGAUCCUAGGUUCAUCAAUCAGUGGCACAUGAACUCUGUUGAUGAGCUCAGCAUACUACCACUAGCAGCUACAUUUGGAGAGAGUUUGCAACACUCAUUCACUCAACCAAACUUCAAUCUCAAAAACGCCAUGGCAACUCCUCAGACUGGUACUGACAUACCCAUGAAACAGCUCAAAUCCAACGGCUGGAACUCUUACAAACUUGAAGAUGCAUCAUAUCCCCAACUUCCUCCUACUCCAAACGUUCUAUCAUUUGCCAAUGCGAACUAUGCAAAUCAAAUGGGGAUUGUAAAGCCUAAAGAGGAGGCAGUAUGUUCCCAGAGCGUGAAUACCCUUCCUUCUGAUAUUUUAAUUUCUCAAGGUUCCUUGGGGAACCAAAAUUAUGUAUUUAAGGCCUGCCAUGGUGGUAAGAGGAUUAGCACAAGCACUAGACUUUCUCAAACACAAGAUCACAUUAUAGCAGAAAGGAAAAGGCGAGAGAAGCUCAGCCAGCGGUUCAUUGCUUUGUCUGCUAUAGUUCCUGGCCUGAAGAAGAUGGACAAGGCUUCUGUUCUUGGUGAUGCUAUUAAAUACCUGAAACAACUGCAAGAGCGAGUAAAGACACUUGAGGAACAAACUACGAAGAAAAACAUAGAAUCAGUGGUCUUUGUAAAGAAGUCUCAACUCUUCGUUGAAUGUGACAACUCCAUCUCAGGCAGCGAACCGCUCGAUGAGCAUCUACCAGAAAUUGAAGCAAGGUUCUGUGACAAAAAUGUCCUCAUAAGAAUUCACUGCGAGAAAAGGAAAGGAGUGCUAGAGAAAUCGGUCACUGAAAUUGAGAAGCUCCACCUAACAGUCAUUAAUAGCAGUGUCAUGACAUUUGGGAGUUCUGCUCUUGAUAUCACUAUUAUUGCUCAGGUUAUUUCUUAAAUUCUUCCAUGGACCGAAUCUGGGGAUUUCCAACCACAAAUCUUUUAAAGUAUAGUAGCUUCUUAGAGUGGAAAUUCAAUACGUUUUCGUGCUCCUGGCAUGGAUGAGGGAUUCUGCCUGACGGUAAAGGAUCUUGUGACGAAUCUGCGCUCAGCUAUUGAACUUAUCCUGUGAAACGAAGUUGCAAUUUCAUCUAAGAUGUGGAAUAAACACUUUCAUAGUUUUUUUGCUGCUGCUAGAAGCUUCAGAAGACUAGGAAUAAUCCUCAAAUAUACAAUCGAUCCUUGUCUUAUCUUUUUACUUAAUUUCUGCUUACAGGGCCUGUAAUGGUUUACCAUCUUAGACCAUCUAUUUUUAAGCUUGUUUGCUGUGAGGUCCAUUUAUCGGGUGGGUUUUUUUCUUUUUUUUUUGUUAAUUUUUGCAUGGUUAAAUUCUUGACCAUGUUAAUGACCCACCUGUAUAAAAAGAGUGACAUGACAGCUUGUUUGGGCUUUUUUUUUUUUUUUUUUUUUUGUGUGUGAUGUUGAAAGAAUGUCAACUGAAACUGUGUUGUGCCCCCUUCUCUCCUAAAGUGGUUGAAGAGGGAAAAUGGUUUUUUAGUGUAGACCAGCAGGCCUCUGUUUCAGUAGUUGUUGCCUUGUCAUGUUUUAGGGGUACCUUGAAAGAAAAUUCUUCUUGGACCUCUUUUCUCCCUGUAAUGCUGUAAUGUCAUUGGAUUGUAACAGUUUCAGUUGAUAUAAUGCAAUAAUUGUGACUUUUUAUGCA
This is an RNA transcript of Carya illinoinensis, 1835 nucleotides long. It is a transcript of the gene named transcription factor bHLH25-like, with no coding region annotated. The transcript has 5 exons. The record is from RefSeq and is a predicted model, not a curated record. NCBI's taxonomy places the organism in Eukaryota, Viridiplantae, Streptophyta, Magnoliopsida, Fagales, Juglandaceae.